Molecule: long non-coding RNA, 118 nt
Organism: Fundulus heteroclitus (mummichog)
Lineage: Eukaryota; Metazoa; Chordata; Actinopteri; Cyprinodontiformes; Fundulidae
Exons: 2
Source: RefSeq, a predicted model, not a curated record
GCUGGUAACCAGAAUCAUCUCCGGAAAUCGUGUGGCACGAACUGUUUGGACGCGAGAGCAGAGCGAACACUGGUGGCUGUAUAUUGUAAGAGAGACGUUCAACCCUCAGCAAUGGAUC